CUAGCAUGAUGGUCGACUGUUGGCAUGGGCCGACACGAGCUUGAGAGCCUGCAGAAGUCGGGACCCGUUCUUGGGUGUUGGUGGAGGGAGUCGAAGUCGCUAUCUCAGGAGGAGUGUUCAUGUGAUGACAAUGACUUCUGCGUACAACCUCGACGACAACUUUCUUUCAGUAGCGCGUGUAGUGAGUGUGAGUGGCCAGGUUGGUCAGGGUGUCCUGUUUGCGGUCUUCUUGAUUGCGUCAUGGCGUUUGUUACGGUUUUUGCCCGGUUUUACGUUUAAUUAACUGGACAAUUCUCUUAGUCUUAAUUAAUGGAUUGAGUCCUUGGUUCGAAAAAAAUGCAUUGGAGGUUUUCCAAAACGAAAGAAAAGACAGGGGCAAUAGAAAGGAAGGAUUUGAUACGGUGCUGACGAUUGGUUACCUGCUCAGGUCUGGACAAGGAGUAUUAGGGCAUCUCCAAGGAAAACCCUCAAAUCCUCCCCAUUUGUCCAAAUCUGUCCAUAUGGGGGUCAAAGAGCAAUAUACACAACCCAAUGGGAACCUCCAUUUGUCCAAAAGUGGUCGACGCUCUCUGUUUCUUCCCCAAAUUUUGAGAGAAUAUGGGGAGUCCCCAUUUGUGCAAAACUCAUCUAAACAUUAUCCACUUGUCUUUUUGGCCCACGUGUCAAAGACUCAUGAAGAGAUAAAUGCAUGGGAGGUUAGCAUUGGACAACUUGAUGUUUUGCCCAUCCCUUGGAGAUGCCCUUAUGUUACGCGAAGCUCUGGAUUCUGAAUUCCUGACGCCGAUGAUAUUCUUUGUUCUUUCAGAAAUUGAGAAAAUUGAGUGGUGCGUACUACAGCCUAGUCAGGUCCACAGUGUGACAGUAGUACUGGAACUCAACAUCAGUUCAUAUUUCCAUCGACUUGGGGAAGUCGACCUUCCGAAGCGAAAGAAAAGACAGGGGCGAUAAAACACAAGGAUGUGAUAGAUAGGAUGCUGAUGACCGGUUACGGCCUGCUCAGAAAUUCAGAGAGAAAUAAAAUUGAGUGGCUUGUAUAGCCUAGUACUAGUACAGUACAGGAACUGAUGAACACCAUUCAUUCAUUCCCAUCGACUUGGUGUGAUCAAUGCAGCAGGUGAAGUGUCGAAUUAUGAUCAGCAGAAGAAGUACGAGUGACGCUUCUUUGUGGUAGGAGUAUGUGGUUUCGACUUUGUCACUUGAAUUGAACCCGUUUCGAGCCCCCAGAUAUAUACAAACAUGUGGUGAGUAUUUAUAUGUGGAUUAAGCUGGCCAGGAGAUAGUGUAUAUGAUUAAGCUUCUUACUGCUACUGCGGUAACUACCGGUUUGCUGCAACGCGAAUUUCAGUUCAUCACAAGGUUGGGGGGAUCGAUGAGCUAGCUAAUAAGCCGGCGAUAAUGGAGUGCGUACCGG
Molecule: long non-coding RNA, 1411 nt
Organism: Brachypodium distachyon (stiff brome)
Lineage: Eukaryota; Viridiplantae; Streptophyta; Magnoliopsida; Poales; Poaceae
Exons: 3
Source: RefSeq, a predicted model, not a curated record